RNAcentral lists this ribosomal RNA (464 nucleotides) under uncultured bacterium. RNAcentral's name for it is "bacterial SSU rRNA". It matches the Rfam family "Bacterial small subunit ribosomal RNA", at positions 917 to 1382 of the family's 1533-position model. The record is from RNAcentral.
GGGCCCGCACAAGCGGUGGAGCAUGUGGUUCAAUUCGACGCAACGCGAAGAACCUUACCCAGGCUUGAACUGCGAGUGACAUCCUACGAAAGUAGGCUUCCGCAAGGACACUCGUAGAGGUGCUGCAUGGCUGUCGUCAGCUCGUGUCGUGAGAUGUUGGGUUAAGUCCCGCAACGAGCGCAACCCUUGUCUUCUGUUGCCAUCGGGUCAUGCCGGGCACUCUGAAGAGACUGCCGGUGACAAACCGGAGGAAGGUGGGGAUGACGUCAAGUCAGCAUGGCCUUUAUGUCUGGGGCCACACACGUGCUACAAUGGCCGGUACAAACCGUCGCGAGCCCGCGAGGGGGAGCUAAUCGGAGAAAGCCGGUCUCAGUUCGGAUUGUAGGCUGCAACUCGCCUGCAUGAAGUUGGAAUCGCUAGUAAUCGCGGAUCAGCACGCCGCGGUGAAUACGUUCCCGGGCCUU